AAUGAACGCUGGCGGCAGGCCUAACACAUGCAAGUCGAACGGAUCCUUCGGGAUUAGUGGCGGACGGGUGAGUAACGCGUGGGAACGUGCCCUUUGGUUCGGAAUAGCCUCGGGAAACUGGGAGUAAUACCGGAUAAGCCCUUCGGGGGAAAGAUUUAUCGCCAAAGGAUCGGCCCGCGUUGGAUUAGGUAGUUGGUGGGGUAAUGGCCUACCAAGCCGACGAUCCAUAGCUGGUUUGAGAGGAUGAUCAGCCACACUGGGACUGAGACACGGCCCAGACUCCUACGGGAGGCAGCAGUGGGGAAUCCUAGACAAUGGGGGAAACCCUGAUCUAGCCAUGCCGCGUGAUCGAUGAAGGCCUUAGGGUUGUAUAGAUCUUUCAGUUGGGAAGAUAAUGACGGUACCAACAGAAGAAGCCCCGGCUAACUCCGUGCCAGCAGCCGCGGUAA
RNAcentral lists this ribosomal RNA (449 nucleotides) under uncultured bacterium. Its description in RNAcentral is "partial 16S ribosomal RNA". It matches the Rfam family "Bacterial small subunit ribosomal RNA", at positions 29 to 523 of the family's 1533-position model. The record is from RNAcentral.